GACCUCGGUAGCUUAGCGAUUCAAAGCAUUGGGGCAUAAACCUGAAGGCAUGGGUUCGAAUCCCAUCGAGUUCA
Henosepilachna vigintioctopunctata is the source of this 74-nucleotide non-coding RNA. The record is from the annotation of a GenBank genome assembly. NCBI's taxonomy places the organism in Eukaryota, Metazoa, Arthropoda, Insecta, Coleoptera, Coccinellidae.